UCCGGGGUAGUUCAGCGGUAGAACGCUUGACUGUUAAUCAAGAUGUCGGCGGUUCGAUCCCGUCCCCCGGAGCCA
This 75-nucleotide transfer RNA is filed under the name Gemmatimonadales bacterium. RNAcentral describes it as "tRNA-Asn". It matches the Rfam family "tRNA". From Rfam's summary of the family: Transfer RNA (tRNA) molecules are approximately 80 nucleotides in length. Lineage: Bacteria; Pseudomonadati; Gemmatimonadota; Gemmatimonadia; Gemmatimonadales. The record is from RNAcentral.